UACGUAGGUGGCAAGCGUUGUCCGGAAUUACUGGGCGUAAAGCGCACGCAGGCGGUCUGUCAAGUCGGAUGUGAAAUCCCCGGGCUCAACCUGGGAACUGCAUUCGAAACUGGCAGGCUAGAGUCUUGUAGAGGGGGGUAGAAUUCCAGGUGUAGCGGUGAAAUGCGUAGAUAUUAGGAGGAACACCAGUGGCGAAGGCGGCUGUCUGGACUGUAACUGACGCUGAGGCGCGAAAGCUAGGGGAGCAAACAGG
Molecule: ribosomal RNA, 253 nt
Filed under: uncultured bacterium
Lineage: Bacteria
Description: partial 16S ribosomal RNA
Rfam family: Bacterial small subunit ribosomal RNA
Source: RNAcentral